Hibiscus syriacus is the source of this 217-nucleotide long non-coding RNA. RefSeq lists it as uncharacterized. The transcript has 3 exons. The record is from RefSeq and is a predicted model, not a curated record. Lineage: Eukaryota; Viridiplantae; Streptophyta; Magnoliopsida; Malvales; Malvaceae.
GGCAUGCUAGUAGUGAACUGAUUUUGUUGAUUGAAGUAUCGCAACCACAGGUCAUGUUGCAAAACAUGAAAGAGAAGCCAUUGUUAUAUUAUUGAAUCUCUACUUUAAAUUUGUGUGCAUUUAAGGUUUGACUGACAAUGUACAUAAAGAUAUUUGCAUUGUCUAUACGAAGAUCCCUUAUCUUUUGUACUUCUAAGAAAAUAUAUUUUUUUCUAUA